GAGCUAAUAAAAUUGAGAAUGUGUUCCUCUACCAACUGAAAAUGUGUUUCUCUCUACCAUGGUUUUAAAAUGUAAGGACCGUUAUUUAAAGGUUUUUUUGACUUACCAUUGCUGUUACCAACAUUAUUUAAUGGAUUUUUAAUUUGUAACUAUAAAGGGCAUUAUGGCUGUUAUUUAAAGGUAACGGUUGUUACUGACCAUUAAGUAAAGGUCAUAGCAGCCAUUAUUUUUCCAACUAAGAAUUCUUUACCUUUUUUAUUUUUUAUUUUUUACCUCUUUCAUGAGAAAUGCAAUAAAGGGAACCAUUUUUUUGGGUAAAAAAACUAUCUUGGCUCAUUCAU
This 341-nucleotide unclassified non-coding RNA is filed under the name Hevea brasiliensis (rubber tree). The record is from RNAcentral. Lineage: Eukaryota; Viridiplantae; Streptophyta; Magnoliopsida; Malpighiales; Euphorbiaceae.